RNAcentral lists this unclassified non-coding RNA (229 nucleotides) under plant metagenome. Its description in RNAcentral is "partial contains small subunit ribosomal RNA, internal transcribed spacer 1, and 5.8S ribosomal RNA". The record is from RNAcentral.
UCUCCGUAGGUGAACCUGCGGAGGGAUCAUUACAGAGUUCAUGCCCUACCGGGUAGAUCUCCCACCCUGUGUUAUUAUUACUUUGUUGCUUUGGCGGGCCGUUAGGCUCCGGCCCGACUACCGGCCCCGGCUGGUAAGCGCCUGCCAGAGGACCCAAAACCCUGAAUAUUAGUGUCGUCUGAGUACUAUAUAAUAGUUAAAACUUUCAACAACGGAUCUCUUGGUUCUG